This 419-nucleotide ribosomal RNA is filed under the name uncultured bacterium. RNAcentral's name for it is "bacterial SSU rRNA". It matches the Rfam family "Bacterial small subunit ribosomal RNA", at positions 359 to 776 of the family's 1533-position model. The record is from RNAcentral.
GAAUAUUGGGCAAUGGACGAGAGUCUGACCCAGCCAUGCCGCGUGCAGGAAGACGGCCUUCUGGGUUGUAAACUGCUUUUAUCUGGGAAGAAAACGUCUCUGCGGAGAUAACUGACGGUACCAGAUGAAUAAGCACCGGCUAACUCCGUGCCAGCAGCCGCGGUAAUACGGAGGGUGCAAGCGUUGUCCGGAUUUAUUGGGUUUAAAGGGUGCGUAGGCGGCCCGUUAAGUCAGCGGUGAAAUCCCACGGCUCAACCGUGGAACUGCCGUUGAUACUGGCGGGCUUGAGUUCGGUCGAGGCGGGCGGAACUGGCGGUGUAGCGGUGAAAUGCAUAGAUACCGCCAAGAACCCCGAUUGCGUAGGCAGCUCGCUGGGCCGAAACUGACGCUGAGGCACGAAAGCGUGGGGAGCGAACAGG